UACGUAGGGUGCGAGCGUUGUCCGGAAUACUGGGCGUAAAGCGUGCGCAGGCGGUUAUAUAAGACAGUUGUGAAAUCCCCAGGCUCAACCUGGGAACUGCAUCUGUGACUGUAUAGCUAGAGUACGGUAGAGGGGGGGGAUGGAAUUCCGCGUGUAGCAGUGAAAUGCGUAGAUAUGCGGAGGAACACCGAUGGCGAAGGCAAUCCCCCUGGACCUGUACUGACGCUCAUGCACGAAAGCGUGGGGAGCAAACAGG
This 256-nucleotide ribosomal RNA is filed under the name uncultured bacterium. Its description in RNAcentral is "partial 16S ribosomal RNA". It matches the Rfam family "Bacterial small subunit ribosomal RNA", at positions 524 to 776 of the family's 1533-position model. The record is from RNAcentral.